CUGGAGCACGACGACAAGAAACAAGUAGUGUCAACACCAACAAUUUACACUGCUAAAAAAGGACCAAUAAUAAUAGUCAUGAAUUGGUUGUUACAUUUACUUGUUGCAUUUCUAAUCGGGAUCAACUCUGCUGCUUCACAAUGGAUCGUCGAAAGCUUACCCGGUUACGCCGGAACUCUGCCUUUCAAACUUGAAACCGGAUAUAUUGGAGUGGGAGAGAAUGAUGAAGUGCAGCUGUUUUACUACUUCAUUGAGUCGGAAAAUGAGCCAACGAGGGAUCCUCUGCUGCUCUGGCUCAACGGCGGCCCCGGUUGCUCUGCCUUCUCCGGCCUCGUUUAUGAAAUCGGUCCCCUGGCCUUUGAUAUUGAAAAUUUUGAUGGGAGCUUACCAUCUUUCAUACUCAACCCAUAUUCUUGGACUAAGGUUGCCAACAUCAUAUUUCUAGAUUAUCCAGUGGGAACUGGAUUCUCCUAUUCCAACACAUCAAAAGGCUACGCCUCCUCCGACACCAAAUCAACACAACAUAAUUACACAUUUCUACGCAAGUGGUUGUUGGCUCAUCCUGCAUUUAUAAAAAAUGCUCUGUAUGUUGCUGGUGACUCUUAUGGAGGCCAUAUUGUUCCAAUGCUUGCUCUUCAAAUAGCACAAGGCAAUGAAGCUGGAAUGCAGCCAAUAAUGUCGCUCAAAGGCUACAUUAUUGGAAAUCCAGUGACAGAUGAAAAUAAGGAUUCCAAUGAAGUGAUACCGUAUGCUCACAGAAUGGCACUCAUAUCAGACGAACAAUUUAAGCUAGCCAGAACCAGCUGCGACGGAGAGUAUGUGAAUCCAGAUCCAAAUAAUGUCAAAUGUUUAUUUGCUCUUUACAUUACCGAACAGUGCACCAAGUUGAUCAACUAUGCUCACAUUCUGGAGCCAACAUGCAAUUUCAUGUCACCAAGACCAAGUGAUUCUAGAAGGUUCCAACCAUGGCUGGUAGAUGAUCCAGUCGACUUCCUCUCCCUCUCCCUCUCCCUCUCCCUCUCCAACCGAGAUGAACUAAAAUGCCGCACUCGGAACUAUUUGACAUCCUAUGUGUGGGCAAAUGACGAAAGUGUAAGAGAAUCUCUGCACAUCAGAAAGGGAACGAUAACUGCUUGGGUGAGAUGUAACAAGAGCUUAAGCGACGAGUACUAUGAAUAUGACAUAGAAAGUGUUGUGGAAUAUCAUCAAAUUCUGAGUGAUAGAGGCUUUCAAGCCUUGGUUUAUAGUGGUGAUCACGAUAUGAAUAUACCUUACAUGGCUACAUUAAAAUGGAUACGCAAACUGAAUGUGAGCCUCGACGAUGAAUGGAGGGCGUGGACCGUUGACGGUCAAGUUGCAGGAUACACAGAGAAGUACACGAACAAGCAGGGUAGCCUCGUAUUUGCUACAGUCAAGGGUGCAGGGCAUACAGCGCCAGAGUACAAUCCUAAAGAAUGUCUAGAAAUGAUAAAAAGAUGGUUAUCUGUCUACCCACUGUAGCAUUUUGAUGGUGUGCAAUAAUUGAAAUGUAGAGUGGGAUUGGGUGGGUGAGCGGAAUAAAUUUAGAAUGUGAUUGGUGGGGUACGGUACGGCAGUACUGUGCAACACAUCACAUGGGAGACGCCGACGCAGCUCUUCAUAAAUAUUGCCUUUUUCCCUUUGGAACUAAAUAUUAAACGGCAUAUAUUUAGAAUAGGAGGGAGUACUUCAUUUUGGAAGUUAUCUUUAUUCUCACAUUCGGAAUUAUUUUAGUGGGAGGCUGGACUCAGCUGGACCCAAAAUGUACACUCACGUUUCUUCAAUUGCACACAGAUCUUCAAACAGGCA
This is an RNA transcript of Salvia miltiorrhiza (redroot sage), 1827 nucleotides long. It is a transcript of the gene named serine carboxypeptidase-like 13, with no coding region annotated. Lineage: Eukaryota; Viridiplantae; Streptophyta; Magnoliopsida; Lamiales; Lamiaceae. The record is from RefSeq and is a predicted model, not a curated record. The transcript has 15 exons.